Molecule: ribosomal RNA, 420 nt
Filed under: uncultured bacterium
Lineage: Bacteria
Description: bacterial SSU rRNA
Rfam family: Bacterial small subunit ribosomal RNA
Source: RNAcentral
AAGGAAUAUUGGUCAAUGGACGCAAGUCUGAACCAGCCAUGCCGCGUGAAGGAUGAAGGUCCUCUGGAUUGUAAACUUCUUUUAUCUGGGACGAAAACGGGAUUUUUAUCUCAAUUGACGGUACCAGAGGAAUAAGCACCGGCUAACUCCGUGCCAGCAGCCGCGGUAAUACGGAGGGUGCAAGCGUUAUCCGGAUUCACUGGGUUUAAAGGGUGCGUAGGUGGGCAGAUAAGUCAGUGGUGAAAUCUUCCGGCUUAACCGGGAAACUGCCGUUGUUACUAUUUGUCUUGAAUAUUGCGGAGGUAAGCGGAAUAUGUCAUGUAGCGGUGAAAUGCUUAGAUAUGACAUAGAACACCAAUUGCGAAGGCAGCUUACUACACAAUCAUUGACACUGAGGCACGAAAGCGUGGGUAGCGAACA